CCUACGGGAUGCUGCAGUAGGGAAUUUUCCACAAUGGGCGAAAGCCUGAUGGAGCAACGCCGCGUGGGUGAAGAAGGUCUUCGGAUCGUAAAACCCUGUUGUUAGCGAAGAAAGUGCGUGAGAGUAACUGUUCUCGUUUCGACGGUAUCUAACCAGAAAGCCACGGCUAACUACGUGCCAGCAGCCGCGGUAAUACGUAGGUGGCAAGCGUUAUCCGGAUUUCUUGGGCGUAAAGGGAACGCAGGCGGUCUUUUAAGUCUGAUGUGAAAGGCGUCGGCUUAACCGGAGUAGUGCAUUGGAAACUGGGAGACUUGAGUGCAGAAGAGGAGAGUGGAACUCCAUGUGUAGCGGUGAAAUGCGUAGAUAUAUGGAAGAACACCAGGGGCGAAAGCGGCUCUCUGGUCUGUAACUGACGCUGAGGUUCGAAAGCGUGGGUAGCAAACAGGAUUAGAUACCCCUGUAGUC
Molecule: ribosomal RNA, 465 nt
Filed under: uncultured bacterium
Lineage: Bacteria
Description: partial 16S ribosomal RNA
Rfam family: Bacterial small subunit ribosomal RNA
Source: RNAcentral